RNAcentral lists this ribosomal RNA (497 nucleotides) under uncultured bacterium. Its description in RNAcentral is "partial 16S ribosomal RNA". It matches the Rfam family "Bacterial small subunit ribosomal RNA", at positions 28 to 507 of the family's 1533-position model. The record is from RNAcentral.
GAUGAACGCUGGCGGCGUGCCUAAUACAUGCAAGUCGAGCGAACAGACUCGGAGCUUGCUCCUCUGACGUUAGCUGCGGACGGGUGAAUCACACGUGGAUAACCUACCUAUAAGACUGGGAUACCUUCGAGACACCGGAGCUAAUACCGUAUCAUAUAUUGAACCGCAUGGUUCAAUAGUGACUGACGGUUUUGCUGUCACUUAUAGAUGGAUCCGCGCCGCAUUAGCUAGUUGGUCAGGUAACGGCUUACCAAGGCAACGAUGCGUAGCCGACCUGAGAGGGUGAUCGGCCACACUGGAACUGAGACACGGUCCAGACUCCUACGGGAGGCAGCAGUAGGGAAUCUUCGGCAAUGGGCGAAAGCCUGACGGAGCAACGCCGCGUGAGUGAUGAAGGUAUUCGGAACGUAAAACUCUGUUAUUAGGGAAGAACAAAUGUGUAAGGAAAUAAGAACGUAGUGACGGUACCUAAUAAGAAAGCCACGGCUAACUACGUG